This 671-nucleotide long non-coding RNA is filed under the name Carassius auratus (goldfish). RNAcentral describes it as "lncRNA (ENSCARG00000066035.1)". The record is from RNAcentral. Lineage: Eukaryota; Metazoa; Chordata; Actinopteri; Cypriniformes; Cyprinidae.
AUGGAUCGAGUAGAGGACGCUCAGUCUGCCUCAGAUGCUGGGACAACUUCUGGAUUCACCCUGGCCUGGCCUCGAAUGCAUCCCAGAAGCAGAUGUGCCAUCAAGUCCAGAAGACCAUGUGUGUCUGCUGGACUGUAUAGCUCUGGGCCGUCAUGCCCAAAACAGUCAAGAGCAGUGUGGUCACUAAACGAUCCACUGUGAAAAUCAAUGUGACAGGGACAGAGUUUGUGGUCGUUUGGAUACCAAUGCUUUCAUUUCUGAAAGGCACUACUGUACUCACCUACAAGCCUCGACUUCUGGACAAUUUAAGAUUUAGUUUCCCCCACAGAUUCAGUUUCCAGCUCUAGACAUCCGUCUUUCCUACAAUGAUGUGCAGCUUUUCCUGGCAAUAGCCAAAUCCAUUCCAACCACUGGAUCCACCGGCCCUUCGGACACUGCCACAGAAGCUGAGAGGUCAGCGUCCACUGCCAGCACAGACACUCCAUCCAAAUCAAAGGACAGCUUCAGGCAAAAGACAGAUGCUUUAAUGGGUUUGUUAACUGAUAAAAAUAUAUAUAGUUUCUAUUUAAAUAUCUCAAAGAGAUCUGCGAAGAUAUGUUUAGUUUUGGGCAAAACUGUCCCUUUAUUUAAAAAGCUUUUCAGAAGUUUCUUAAAAUAUUUUAUUUUAGAAG